RNAcentral lists this ribosomal RNA (255 nucleotides) under uncultured prokaryote. RNAcentral describes it as "partial 16S ribosomal RNA". It matches the Rfam family "Bacterial small subunit ribosomal RNA", at positions 521 to 775 of the family's 1533-position model. The record is from RNAcentral.
UAAUACGGAGGGUGCAAGCGUUAUCCGGAUUCACUGGGUUUAAAGGGUGCGUAGGUGGGCAGGUAAGUCAGUGGUGAAAUCUUUGGGCUUAACCCGAAAACUGCCAUUGAUACUAUUUGUCUUGAAUAUUGUGGAGGUCAGCGGAAUAUGUCAUGUAGCGGUGAAAUGCUUAGAUAUGACAUAGAACACCAAUUGCGAAGGCAGCUGGCUACACAUAUAUUGACACUGAUGCACGAAAGCGUGGGGAUCAAACAG